This 240-nucleotide unclassified non-coding RNA is filed under the name soil metagenome. RNAcentral describes it as "partial contains 5.8S ribosomal RNA, internal transcribed spacer 2, and large subunit ribosomal RNA". The record is from RNAcentral.
AACGGUCUAUACCUGCGGUACCUGCGGAGGGAUCAUUAUUGAAUAAACUUGGUUAGAUUGUUGCUGGCUCUUAGGGGCAUGUGCACGUCUAAUUCAUUUUUAACCACCUGUGCACAUUGUGUAGAUCUGAUAUACUCGAGGAAACUCGGUUUGAGAACUGCUGUGCGCAAGCCAGCUUUUCUUGUAAUCAGGUCUAUAUUCUUAUAUACCCCAUAUGAAUGUAUUCGAAUGUUGUACUGG